GGCUCAGUAGGUUGGUCGUGCCACCGGUACGUACUGGUCUCACUGAUUCCUCCUUCCUGAAGAACCGUAAUGCCAUUAAUUUGGUGUGGCGGGGAAACAGGACUGUUACUUUGAAAAAAUUAGAGUGUUUAAAGCAAGCUAACGCUUGAAUACAUGAGCAUGGAAUAAUGAAAUAGGACGAUCGAUCCUAUUUUGUUGGUUUCUAGGAUUGACGUA
Molecule: ribosomal RNA, 216 nt
Filed under: Glomeromycotina sp.
Lineage: Eukaryota; Fungi; Glomeromycota
Description: partial small subunit ribosomal RNA
Rfam family: Eukaryotic small subunit ribosomal RNA (bases 40-216)
Source: RNAcentral